AUGGUGGUAUAUGGGGAUGUUGUGGUAUGUGAGGAUAUGGUGGGAUGUGAGGACUCAGUGGUAUAUGGGGACGGGAUGGUAUUAACAUCCUUCUCAAAACCAAAGUCCAGAGGCCAGGUCACAGUGACUCAGCCUGGAGCAGUGAGCUCUGCUCUGGGAGGCUCCGUCUCCAUCAGCUGUAGGACCAGUCAGGAUGUUUAUAAUUCUGACUUUUUAGCCUGGUACCAACAGAGAGAUGGAGAAACUCCUAAACUGCUCAUUUACCGUGCUACUGAGCAAGAAUCAGGGAUUCCAGAUCGUUUUACAGGCAGUGGAUCAGACUCUGACUUCACUCUGACCAUCAGUGGAGUCCAGACUGAAGAUGCAGCAGUUUACUACUGUCAGAGUUAUCAUGAAAUCAACAGUCAGGAUGUGUUCACACAGUGA
Non-coding RNA from Perca flavescens (yellow perch), 426 nucleotides. The record is from the annotation of a RefSeq genome assembly. Lineage: Eukaryota; Metazoa; Chordata; Actinopteri; Perciformes; Percidae.